Non-coding RNA from Peromyscus maniculatus bairdii (prairie deer mouse), 1273 nucleotides. Lineage: Eukaryota; Metazoa; Chordata; Mammalia; Rodentia; Cricetidae. The record is from RefSeq and is a predicted model, not a curated record.
AGAUCUAUCUGGGUCCCAAAGAAAGUUGAGUCCCUCCCACACAAGUCCACACAGUUGCUAGGAUACAGCGUUAUCAUCUCUGAGUUGUUCCAUGGACCCUUUUCUCAAGCACCCUUUUCUGGUUUGCGUUGUUUUCCCUGGAUCAGCAAUCUUGGAAGUUACCUUCUAAUCAGCACAAAGGUUUUCCACAGAUGGCUCUGACAGAAAAGAAAGUCUUCCACAUGUCCUAUUUAUGGAGCACCGUGGGUCCCUUGUCUCCCUGCAUCUAACCUGGCACAAGUCAAAUACAAGUUUGCACUGAUGAACGAUGUGCAAACUUGUGCAGAAAAACGAAGUGGAGACGUUUCUAGGCUGAAAAAAAAAACCGAGGAACCAAGGUGCCUCGGCGUCAAGAAGAGUCUGGAUGCCUGAGUCCAUGUUGUGGCUAAGGGACAGAGCAUCCAGAUUGUUCUAGGCACUGGGGAAAGCAGCGACCAUCACCAGCAAGAUUCUCUCUCACCAAUAAACUGGAGUUGCAUUUAAUGGAGGAGACGGGCAAUAAGACAACGAGGAGGUAGCGGGUCUCAUACAACCUACAGAACCAGAACUCCAGCUGCAACACACUCACAAGGGAUCAGGACCCAGGAGGGAAGAGGAAGUGGAAACAGUGCGCAGCCCGAACAUAAACUAGAAACGCAAUUUCCAUUCAAGGAAGGGUGGAGGAGGCAGGCUCUGAACUUGAACACUUUCACAAUGAAAAUAAUCCCUGCCCAAAGGGCCAGAAAAUGUUCUCUGGUAUAGACGAUCUCCAUCUGGGGGGGCGACCGACACUGUUAGGACCCUCUCCAUGCCGUGCACCUGGUGAGCUCACAGCCUGGGCCCCAGCCUCAGCUCCCAAGGCCACACCAGUGGUUUCCUUUGGCCCUCCCUCCCGCAGUUCAUCAUAUGUCCCAUGAGGCAGUUAAACAAUUUCCUUAAAUUAUGAUGCAUCCUCUCUCUUUCUGUGACCAGGCAGGCUUCGACUCUCCUUGGAUAUGGCAAAAAACAAAAACAAACAAACAAAACAACAACAACAACAAGAACAACAAAAAACCCUCUAACUGAGUCAAAACUCUACAUUUUUGCAGUGCAGCCCAGGCUGCACUUGAGUCAAGGAGCGGGCAGGGGCCUCUGGGAUGCGAGACCCCACCCCCAACCCUGGCUCAGGACAGAUGCAGCACAGUGGGUAGGCUGGAAAAGCACGACCUGGGUACCAUGGGGGAGGCACAGGCCAUGGCAGGCUGAGGGGCCUCAU